Salvelinus sp. IW2-2015 is the source of this 4234-nucleotide non-coding RNA. The record is from RefSeq and is a predicted model, not a curated record. NCBI's taxonomy places the organism in Eukaryota, Metazoa, Chordata, Actinopteri, Salmoniformes, Salmonidae.
CAGUGCCCCCAUGACAAAGCUUUCCAUAAGAAUGACAGACCUAUAGCCAGGUCCAGAAGGCUAGAUUCUGAGCCAUGGCUGUGGGAGGUGGGCUUCAGAGGAGCACCAGAGCAGACUAUCAGGAUGCUGGGUGUCACCACACCUGGCUAGAGGUCAGAGGUCAGACUUGAGAGAGAGAAGCAGAGAGAGAGGAUGGAGACCAGAGGGCGCAGUACCAGGGCAGGGGUUCUGUUCUGGACCCCUGCUCCUCAACACCCCUCUCCCUCCAGCUCCAUAGACUCAGACGUGGACUGGUGGGAUGAGGAUGAGGAGGAAGGUGGGGACAGGAAAGAAGAGGAAGAAAAGGACUUCCACAGCCAGAUGGAUGAGAAUGGGAUUAUAGGACUGGAGAACGCCUUGCAGAAUGUGGGUCUGGGAGAAGAGGAGGAGGAGGGAGAGGAGGAGGGAGUGGAGAAUGGAGAGGAUGAUCUGCCCUGGUACUCUGGAGCCUUGGACCCAGAGGGACCCAGGGAGGGGUUCCUGUCCUCCAGUAGGGCAGCUGGGAUGGGGCUGGACUAGAGGUUGGAGCAGGUAGACCCGUUGGAGGAGCUGAGUUAUAACCUGAGUGACCUGCAGAGCUCUGAGCCUCUGUCUCAGUCUGAGCCACCUGGAGAGGACACGCAACCCUGUCAUUCGGUGAGUCACACACUAACAAACACUACAAACAUUGUCAUCACUUCUUUAGUCAAAUAAUAACACAUUUCAGCAAAGCCAAAAGCAUCAAAGCCUCAGUCACGGUUGGUAGAGAGUGACAACAGAGGGGGGACACGGUUGGUAGAGAGUGACAACAGAGGGAGGACACGGUUGGUAGAGAGUGACAACAGAGGGAGGACACGGUUGGUAGAGAGUGACAACAGAGGGGGGACACGAUUGGUAGAGAGUGUGUCUGAAGACCUCUCCUCCCUUUUCCCUCCUGACCUGCUCAGUCCACCCCCCACAUGUCCCUUCUCCCCUCCCAGAGGUUGUACCUUUCUUUACCUCCUCGACUUCUCCUCCGAGGAGUUGGCUAAUGCUCCCGGGAUUGAAGCUGAGACAUUCCCGGAGGAACCCACCUUUACAGAGAGCCUUCCGGAAUCCCGCAGCAGCCAAAUGAGCCAUGCCCCCAGGCCUCAUUGGCAGCCUGAGUCAGGGGGGGAGGAGCUCAAGACUAGGACCUCCCCUUACCCAGCAGCCAUCUUUCCUGAGCAUGGGAUAUCUUACCGACUCAGAGAGAGAAACAAGGGCGGUGAAGAGAGCCUACAGGAUGAGUCAGGCACUAACUACUGGCAACACGCCUCUCACUCUCCGAGGAAGAUGAGACAGCACUCACCUGACACUCCACGAGCCAUGACUCGUUCCCCUCAGAAAGGCUGGCAUGCACCCCCACAGUCCCCUCGUCGCAGCAGCACCCAGGACAGGAGCCUCCGCACCCACAGGGAGGGUCCCCCCAAGCCAGGAGCCAUGACCCUGACAUUGACGAGGGCUGGAGAGGGCCCCACCCCAGACUUCUCCAAGGUAGAGCCCAGGGUCCGCUUCCCCAUGAACGGCUACACCCUUGACCCCCCAAGAGCAAAGGCUUCGCCAGAAAGAGGUCUCUGUCAGUGGAGCCCACCCUGGUGUUCAAGUCCCCUGCUGACAUAGUGAGAGAGGUGCUGCUGAGCAGUACAGACGGACCCCCUCACCCCCCAAUGGGCCCCACAGGCGCCUAAACUCCACGGUGCCAGAGGACUUCAGAUGCCCACGACAGGCCAGCACUCUGGUACAGCAGCUGCAGGAGGACUACAACAGGCUGCUGACCAAGUAUGCUGAGGCAGAGAACACUAUUGAUCGGAUGCGUCUUAAAGCCAAGGCAGUCUAUAAAAGUGGGCCUCUACUCUGACCCUCCCAAUUGCAGUGACGCUGUCUAAUCAGGUGUGCUACAUGAAGGUUAAAAAGUCAUGACCUUAACCUCUCCCCAAGCUCAGAGGGCGGAGCUCAGCUCAGGCUCCAUUCACCUGAAUGAACAGGCUGCCCACCAAGGACCUGGUGGAAUCUCCCCUGUCCGUCCCUCCUCAAUGGCCUCCUCUUCCUCGAGAAGCCUGGGCCCUGGAGUUGGAGAGGGCUCUCAAAGCAGACUGACAGAUUCCUCCACCAGGUGCAGACAUUUGAAGAGCUCCUGAGGAGAGGGAUACUCAAACCGUUUGAGCAGAUGAAGCUACCAGAGUUUCAGGGAGGUGCCCAGACUGCUAAAACCUGGAUCUGACAGAGGGAGACCAUGACUUUCCUGAUGCAGGAGAAGAAGCCACACAUGCAGGCGGUGAGGGGAGAAGAGAGGGACCACGCCCAGGGACCAGGAGGGAGGAGGGCCACACAAGUCUCCCUCAGAGAUAGCCAAUGCUAGGUCAGAAGGACGCUACAUUCAUUCCAAUGGCAAGACCAAGGACCAGCAAAUCAGUUCUUUGUUCCCCUAAAGACCUCAGCCAAUCCCCUGCAUUUCAUGGCUCGCCUGCCAAUGACAGCAAGAGGUCAGAGGUCAGGAAGUCUCGAGGCAGUAGUCUCACCAGUCUGGGGGGGAGUACUGCGUCAGAGAGGAGGGGCUCCAAACAGCAGCCUGGGACCAGGAGAGUGUCAUCUCAGGUCAAUUACUUAAAAGACUGUAUCAAGCUUCCAUUACAUUUUUGACUGCUUAUUCACCUAUCUGGUGUCUGCUGUGAAAGAAACAGUUCAUUACUUUUUGCACACUAUCCACCCAUUUCCUGUUCAUGACUGAAAACACAAUGUAAUUGCAUCUAACUUGUUUCCAAAACAUGUUCAACCAACAAAGAAAUAUCUGAAUUUGUACUUUUUUGUAAUUUAACUGACACUCUCAUCCAUAGCUAGGUGGGACCACACAUCACAGUCAUAGUAAAUACAUUUUUCCUCAAUAAAGUAGCUAUCAGCAGUCAGAGCUGGGGAAAAAGUGUAUAGGUCUAUACAUAUGAAUAAUAAUGUUGAAUAAUAAGAAUGUUGUUAAUUUAUCUUGACAAUUCAGCAAUAUCUUCUAAACCAGCAGUAAAUUGUCUCUCAAACCCUCUGUGUGGAUAGGAUAGGAUCAUCUCACUAGAGAUGUGGGCUCUGAGAGCGGUCACCUGACUCCUGCAGCACCCAGUCCCUUCCACCAGAUGGCCACAGCGAGUCUGUGUAACCUGUCAGUUCCAGAGGAGCAGAACUCAGGGAAGCCCCAACACACGCCCCCUCUCCCCUCCUCCUCCCCCUCACAAAGACCUCAGAGACCCCCCUCGCUGGAGCACAGUGGAGGCUCUCCUCUCAGCACCCCAAGGCGGGUACGAGAGUCUUCAGGGAGAACCAGGGGAGGGGGGGCCUCAGCAUCCAGGUUCCCCCAGACCUGGGCUGAGAACCUCAGCAUCAAUGUUCCCCCAGCCACGGGCUGGCAGUGGUACCAGUGAGUUUGGACCAGGCAGUGACCAUAUCCACACUGUGUCAGGGGAGGACAAGGGACAGAGUGACCGUUCCACCUGAACACCCAAUCCCCAGCACUGCUACCAGCCAAGCCACUCCACCACUGCACCCUAUCACCAUGGCGAUCCCCCUCGGGCCCUGAGCUCUGGUCAGUUGACUAAUCGUACUACUCCAGCCCAGUGAUAAAGGCAGCUCCAUCCCAACCCCAGCCCAUCUAUGUGUCUCUGAGUGGGGGUGUGGCCUCUGGGGUCAGGAGUCGUGAGCAGGUCAGAGGUGGAUCUGGCCGUUCCGUCUGCUGACCUGCACUCUCUGAACCAUGCCAUUGAGGCGGCCAGGGAGAUGAGGGAGGCCUCCAAACGCAUGGCCCGCUCCAUCGCCACUGGACUGCACCACCAGAAGGCGCUGUCACAGUUACGCAUGCACAGAUGGAUCAGACCAGAAAUACACCAGGGUUGUAUUUAUUAGGCACCAAGCAGAAGAAAACCGACUGAAACGGGGAGGGACUUCCUGAAUUUGUCCAAUAAGAAACGCUUGUUUCAUUUGUGUAUUGUGUGUAAUACUUAGUUAAUAAGGUUACUAAUUGGUGUCAGUGUUACUGUAGUGUAAACUUAUUUUAUACGAAAAUUUAACACUAAAAUAAGAUUUCAGAAAUACACAUUUAUAGGAUUUCAGAAAUGCAGAUUUGGAAAAAUCUAUAUUCUGGUAUCUUUUGUACUUUUGUACUGUGGUUGAUUAUCAAAUGAUUUUUGUUCAAAUAUUUUGUAGUAAAACAUUUGUA